RNAcentral lists this ribosomal RNA (429 nucleotides) under bacterium. Its description in RNAcentral is "partial 16S ribosomal RNA". It matches the Rfam family "Bacterial small subunit ribosomal RNA", at positions 355 to 776 of the family's 1533-position model. The record is from RNAcentral.
UAGGGAAUCUUCCACAAUGGACGCAAGUCUGAUGGAGCAACGCCGCGUGAGUGAAGAAGGUUUUCGGAUCGUAAAGCUCUGUUGUUGGUGAAGAAGGAUAGAGGCAGUAACUGGUCCUUAUUUGACGGUAAUCAACCAGAAAGUCACGGCUAACUACGUGCCAGCAGCCGCGGUAAUACGUAGGUGGCAAGCGUUGUCCGGAUUUAUUGGGCGUAAAGCGAGCGCAGGCGGAAUGAUAAGUCUGAUGUGAAAGCCCACGGCUCAACCGUGGAACUGCAUCGGAAACUGUCAUUCUUGAGUGCAGAAGAGGAGAGUGGAAUUCCAUGUGUAGCGGUGGAAUGCGUAGAUAUAUGGAAGAACACCAGUGGCGAAGGCGGCUCUCUGGUCUGCAACUGACGCUGAGGCUCGAAAGCAUGGGUAGCGAACAGG